This 484-nucleotide ribosomal RNA is filed under the name uncultured bacterium. RNAcentral's name for it is "partial 16S ribosomal RNA". It matches the Rfam family "Bacterial small subunit ribosomal RNA", at positions 30 to 507 of the family's 1533-position model. The record is from RNAcentral.
AUUGAACGCUGGCGGCAGGCCUAACACAUGCAAGUCGAGCGGAUGAAGGGAGCUUGCUCCUGGAUUCAGCGGCGGACGGGUGAGUAAUGCCUAGGAAUCUGCCUGGUAGUGGGGGAUAACGUCCGGAAACGGGCGCUAAUACCGCAUACGUCCUGCGGGAGAACGUGGGGGAUCUUCGGACCUCACGCUAUCAGAUGAGCCUAGGUCGGAUUAGCUAGUUGGUGGGGUAAAGGCCUACCAAGGCGACGAUCCGUAACUGGUCUGAGAGGAUGAUCAGUCACACUGGAACUGAGACACGGUCCAGACUCCUACGGGAGGCAGCAGUGGGGAAUAUUGGACAAUGGGCGAAAGCCUGAUCCAGCCAUGCCGCGUGUGUGAAGAAGGUCUUCGGAUUGUAAAGCACUUUAAGUUGGGAGGAAGGGCAGUAAGUUAAUACCUUGCUGUUUUGACGUUACCAACAGAAUAAGCACCGGCUAACUUCGUG